This 401-nucleotide ribosomal RNA is filed under the name uncultured bacterium. RNAcentral's name for it is "bacterial SSU rRNA". It matches the Rfam family "Bacterial small subunit ribosomal RNA", at positions 358 to 773 of the family's 1533-position model. The record is from RNAcentral.
GGAAUAUUGGACAAUGGGGGGAACCCUGAUCCAGCGACGCCGCGUGAGUGAAGAAGUAUUUCGGUAUGUAAAGCUCUAUCAGCAGGGAAGAAAGAAAUGACGGUACCUGACUAAGAAGCCCCGGCUAACUACGUGCCAGCAGCCGCGGUAAUACGUAGGGGGCAAGCGUUAUCCGGAUUUACUGGGUGUAAAGGGAGCGCAGGCGGUGCGGCAAGUCUGAUGUGAAAGCCCGGGGCUCAACCCCGGGACUGCAUUGGAAACUACCGAGCUAGAGUGUCGGAGAGGUAAGUGGAAUUCCUAGUGUAGCGGUGAAAUGCGUAGAUAUUAGGAGGAACACCAGUGGCGAAGGCGGCUUACUGGACGAUAACUGACGCUGAGGCUCGAAAGCGUGGGGAGCAAAC